UACGAGGGGGGCAAGCGUUGUUCGGAAUUAUUGGGCGUAAAGAGCGUGUAGGCGGUCCGAUAAGUCCGCUCUGAAAGCCCGGGGCUCAACCCCGGGAGGCGGGCGGAUACUGUCGGGCUAGAGUCCGGAAGAGGCAAGUGGAAUUCCUGGUGUAGCGGUGAAAUGCGCAGAUAUCAGGAGGAACACCGAUGGCGAAGGCAGCUUGCUGGGACGGUACUGACGCUGAGACGCGAAAGCCAGGGGAGCAAACGGG
Molecule: ribosomal RNA, 253 nt
Filed under: uncultured bacterium
Lineage: Bacteria
Description: partial 16S ribosomal RNA
Rfam family: Bacterial small subunit ribosomal RNA
Source: RNAcentral